CCUACGGGAGGCAGCAGUGGGGAAUAUUGGACAAUGGGGGGAACCCUGAUCCAGCGACGCCGCGUGAGUGAAGAAGUAUUUCGGUAUGUAAAGCUCUAUCAGCAGGGAAGAAAGACAUGACGGUACCUGACUACUAAGCCCCGGCUAACUACGUGCCAGCAGCCGCGGUAAUACGUAGGGGGCAAGCGUUAUCCGGAUUUACUGGGUGUAAAGGGAGCGUAGACGGCGAUGCAAGUCUGAAGUGAAAGGCGGGGGCCCAACCCCCGGACUGCUUUGGAAACUGUAUGGCUGGAGUGCAGGAGAGGUAAGUGGAAUUCCUAGUGUAGCGGUGAAAUGCGUAGAUAUUAGGAGGAACACCAGUGGCGAAGGCGGCUUACUGGACUGUAACUGACGUUGAGGCUCGAAAGCGUGGGGAGCAAACAGGAUUAGAUACCCUUGUAGUC
This 443-nucleotide ribosomal RNA is filed under the name uncultured bacterium. Its description in RNAcentral is "partial 16S ribosomal RNA". It matches the Rfam family "Bacterial small subunit ribosomal RNA", at positions 338 to 795 of the family's 1533-position model. The record is from RNAcentral.